This 639-nucleotide ribosomal RNA is filed under the name uncultured bacterium. Its description in RNAcentral is "bacterial SSU rRNA". It matches the Rfam family "Bacterial small subunit ribosomal RNA", at positions 44 to 676 of the family's 1533-position model. The record is from RNAcentral.
AGGCUUAACACAUGCAAGUCGAGGGGUAACAGAGAAAAGCUUGCUUUUUUGCUGACGACCGGCGCACGGGUGCGUAACGCGUAUGCAAUCUACCUUUUGCUAAGGGAUAGCCCAGAGAAAUUUGGAUUAAUACCUUAUAGUAUGAUGACUUGGCAUCAAGAUAUCAUUAAAGGUUACGGCAAAAGAUGAGCAUGCGUUCUAUUAGCUAGUUGGUGUGGUAACGGCAUACCAAGGCAACGAUAGAUAGGGGUCCUGAGAGGGAGAUCCCCCACACUGGUACUGAGACACGGACCAGACUCCUACGGGAGGCAGCAGUGAGGAAUAUUGGACAAUGGAGGCAACUCUGAUCCAGCCAUGCCGCGUGCAGGAAGACUGCCCUAUGGGUUGUAAACUGCUUUUAUACAGGAAGAAACAUCUCUACGUGUAGAGAUUUGACGGUACUGUAAGAAUAAGGAUCGGCUAACUCCGUGCCAGCAGCCGCGGUAAUACGGAGGAUCCAAGCGUUAUCCGGAAUCAUUGGGUUUAAAGGGUCCGUAGGUGGAUAAUUAAGUCAGAGGUGAAAUCCUGCAGCUUAACUGUAGAAUUGCCUUUGAUACUGGUUGUCUUGAGUUAUUAUGAAGUGGUUAGAAUAUGUAGUGU